AGCAAUUCUUGUGCCUCAGCCUCCCAAACCGGGAUUACAGAAAAUUCCUCCAGGUCUUCUGAAAAGGUUGGCAUGCUGAGGGACAGCUGAGUAAGCUUCAAUCAUGGAGAAAAGAUAAUAUCCUACAGGAAGGAGAAACAAUAUAACAGGAACCUGGGUCUCUGAAUGAACUUGUGAAGCAGAGCUACCUAUCCGCCCUGGGCCACUUGCCCACCUAUGAGGUGAUAGAAAAACAAACUUCCAUCUAAUUUAAGCCACUGUGUUUCUGAAUCUCUUUGUUAUAUCAUUUUAGCCUAUGCCUUACUAAUAUACUUCCUAAAGUUAAAUGAGCAAGUUAUGUAGUUACGUAGUUAACUAUGAGGUGUGUGUAUGUACAUACCAUUGUUUUCAUGCCUAAUAUAUCUGAUUCUAAACACUUAAAACUUCACUCUCUAGUUCCAAGUGAAACACAGGUAAAAUAAAAUGUGAGCAAUAAAUGGCAUAAAGACAGGUUUUCUGCUUAAACAAUUUGGAGUUUAAAAGGUCAACUGUGUAACUGUAGGACCUAUCCUUUUCGUAUGCCAAUUCUUCAGCCUUCCCAGCAGUUCUGGGAACUAUUAUGAUUCAAUAACUUCCUAUUUCUGUUUAAAUCAUCCAGUCAACUUCAGUUGCUUAAAACUAAGAACUUUGAUGGAUGCAGCAUACAGAUAGCCUUCAGAGGGUUCAUGAACUCCUUGAACCCUAUAUGAAAUAUUUCACACACACACACACACACACACACACAGUGUUUUCUGGGGAGAGGUUACAUAGCUUAUGUCACAUUCUCAAUGGAGUCCAUGAUAAGAUGUGGGCAUAUAUGUGAGAGGGGAGACAAUGCAAUAUUAUCCUUUCCAGAUACAAGUUCAUUAUAAACUUCUUCUGCUAUCCCUGGAAACACAUUUUUUUUUUCAUUAGAGGAAUUUAAUUUAAAACUGAACCAGAAUUAAUAGACUAGAUCAAAUAAUAAGAUGCAGAGACAACAUAAAGAAGGUCAAGAAAAAGGAGAAUGCCCAUGAGGAGUGGUGAUAUUAUGCAGAUAACCUCUUGUUGGGAGGGGAGGAGGACCUAUGCCUUCAGGAUGAGUUGAAGAGUAGCAAAUCAACUGACCAAAAAAUAAGAGUUUGGGCUAUCUGCAGUGGAAAGACAGAGAGGCAAGCAACCAGUAAGAUGGGGUAGAAGACUGUGGAUAAGGAGUUAUGGGGCCAGGUGUGGUGGCUCAUGCUUGUAAUCCUAGCACUUUGGGAGG
RNAcentral lists this long non-coding RNA (1264 nucleotides) under Homo sapiens (human). RNAcentral's name for it is "HSALNT0319254". The record is from RNAcentral. Lineage: Eukaryota; Metazoa; Chordata; Mammalia; Primates; Hominidae.